RNAcentral lists this ribosomal RNA (429 nucleotides) under Chloroflexota bacterium. RNAcentral's name for it is "Chloroflexi bacterium partial 16S ribosomal RNA". It matches the Rfam family "Bacterial small subunit ribosomal RNA", at positions 355 to 776 of the family's 1533-position model. The record is from RNAcentral. Lineage: Bacteria; Bacillati; Chloroflexota.
UGGGGAAUAUUGCACAAUGGGCGCAAGCCUGAUGCAGCCAUGCCGCGUGUGUGAAGAAGGCCUUCGGGUUGUAAAGCACUUUCAGCGGGGAGGAAGGCGUUAAGGUUAAUAACCUUGGCGAUUGACGUUACCCGCAGAAGAAGCACCGGCUAACUCCGUGCCAGCAGCCGCGGUAAUACGGAGGGUGCAAGCGUUAAUCGGAAUUACUGGGCGUAAAGCGCACGCAGGCGGUCUGUCAAGUCGGAUGUGAAAUCCCCGGGCUCAACCUGGGAACUGCAUUCGAAACUGGCAGGCUGGAGUCUUGUAGAGGGGGGUAGAAUUCCAGGUGUAGCGGUGAAAUGCGUAGAGAUCUGGAGGAAUACCGGUGGCGAAGGCGGCCCCCUGGACAAAGACUGACGCUCAGGUGCGAAAGCGUGGGGAGCAAACAGG